AAUUCUUUCAAUAUGCAUCAAUUACAGUUUCAGAUAUCUAUCUAUCUAUCUACCUACCUACUUAUGCCUGCUUAGACCUAGUGGGGAGAUCGGCGGAGUUGGCGGCCGAACCCACUGGAAACUAUAUUUAUAUAGUUCUCACCCCACUUUGUUGCAGGGCCUAGCGAAAGAGCACCGGCAGAGAAUCGUGGUAAGGGCAUAGCUAUAACAUACCGAAUUUUGAUAUAAAAAAAAUAAAAAUAAAUAAAAAUAGUGUGAGAUACUAUUUUUAUUGAAUUUAGAGAAGUAAAAUAUAAGUCAGAAUUGGCUUGUGCUGAAAUCGGAAUGAAAACAGGAGAUUUAAAAUUUUCUGUUGAAAACGGGACAGACAAAUUAGCAGAAAAUGCACAGUGUCAGAAAAUUAUGAAAAAUGGAGAAUAAGUCAGAAUUAUUUUUAUGAGGCUAGAUUUAAAGUUUCAUAUCAUUCUGACACCCGAAAGGUGAAAAAUAAAGUUCGAAAGCUAUCUGAUAAAGAUUACGGUUCGGUACAGUUUUCGGUGACCAAACGGGGUCCAAACUGAAAUGUUAAAAUUUUUUUAGACUUAUUAAGUAAAACCGAGCCUGUCUGUCAAAUUUGAGCGCAAACGGACAUUCAGAAGGGCUCCGACAAAAAAUGUCAGUUUUAAACUGCCUAGAGUGAAUAGUAUUUUGGUGUUGACUAAAGAGGAGUGUUGACCUUUUCUUCUU
Molecule: long non-coding RNA, 726 nt
Filed under: Ananas comosus (pineapple)
Lineage: Eukaryota; Viridiplantae; Streptophyta; Magnoliopsida; Poales; Bromeliaceae
Description: long non-coding RNA (ACOM_LNC031632)
Source: RNAcentral